RNAcentral lists this ribosomal RNA (1676 nucleotides) under Escherichia coli. Its description in RNAcentral is "partial 23S ribosomal RNA". It matches the Rfam family "Bacterial large subunit ribosomal RNA", at positions 1271 to 2925 of the family's 2925-position model. The record is from RNAcentral. Lineage: Bacteria; Pseudomonadati; Pseudomonadota; Gammaproteobacteria; Enterobacterales; Enterobacteriaceae. RNAcentral also lists the same sequence under 1 other name.
UGCUGGAGGUAUCAGAAGUGCGAAUGCUGACAUAAGUAACGAUAAAGCGGGUGAAAAGCCCGCUCGCCGGAAGACCAAGGGUUCCUGUCCAACGUUAAUCGGGGCAGGGUGAGUCGACCCCUAAGGCGAGGCCGAAAGGCGUAGUCGAUGGGAAACAGGUUAAUAUUCCUGUACUUGGUGUUACUGCGAAGGGGGGACGGAGAAGGCUAUGUUGGCCGGGCGACGGUUGUCCCGGUUUAAGCGUGUAGGCUGGUUUUCCAGGCAAAUCCGGAAAACCAAGGCUGAGGCGUGAUGACGAGGCACUACGGUGCUGAAGCGACAAAUGCCCUGCUUCCAGGAAAAGCCUCUAAGCAUCAGGUAACAUCAAAUCGUACCCCAAACCGACACAGGUGGUCAGGUAGAGAAUACCAAGGCGCUUGAGAGAACUCGGGUGAAGGAACUAGGCAAAAUGGUGCCGUAACUUCGGGAGAAGGCACGCUGAUAUGUAGGUGAAGCGACUUGCUCGUGGAGCUGAAAUCAGUCGAAGAUACCAGCUGGCUGCAACUGUUUAUUAAAAACACAGCACUGUGCAAACACGAAAGUGGACGUAUACGGUGUGACGCCUGCCCGGUGCCGGAAGGUUAAUUGAUGGGGUUAGCGGUAACGCGAAGCUCUUGAUCGAAGCCCCGGUAAACGGCGGCCGUAACUAUAACGGUCCUAAGGUAGCGAAAUUCCUUGUCGGGUAAGUUCCGACCUGCACGAAUGGCGUAAUGAUGGCCAGGCUGUCUCCACCCGAGACUCAGUGAAAUUGAACUCGCUGUGAAGAUGCAGUGUACCCGCGGCAAGACGGAAAGACCCCGUGAACCUUUACUAUAGCUUGACACUGAACAUUGAGCCUUGAUGUGUAGGAUAGGUGGGAGGCUUUGAAGUGUGGACGCCAGUCUGCAUGGAGCCGACCUUGAAAUACCACCCUUUAAUGUUUGAUGUUCUAACGUUGGCCCGUAAUCCGGGUUGCGGACAGUGUCUGGUGGGUAGUUUGACUGGGGCGGUCUCCUCCUAAAGAGUAACGGAGGAGCACGAAGGUUGGCUAAUCCUGGUCGGACAUCAGGAGGUUAGUGCAAUGGCAUAAGCCAGCUUGACUGCGAGCGUGACGGCGCGAGCAGGUGCGAAAGCAGGUCAUAGUGAUCCGGUGGUUCUGAAUGGAAGGGCCAUCGCUCAACGGAUAAAAGGUACUCCGGGGAUAACAGGCUGAUACCGCCCAAGAGUUCAUAUCGACGGCGGUGUUUGGCACCUCGAUGUCGGCUCAUCACAUCCUGGGGCUGAAGUAGGUCCCAAGGGUAUGGCUGUUCGCCAUUUAAAGUGGUACGCGAGCUGGGUUUAGAACGUCGUGAGACAGUUCGGUCCCUAUCUGCCGUGGGCGCUGGAGAACUGAGGGGGGCUGCUCCUAGUACGAGAGGACCGGAGUGGACGCAUCACUGGUGUUCGGGUUGUCAUGCCAAUGGCACUGCCCGGUAGCUAAAUGCGGAAGAGAUAAGUGCUGAAAGCAUCUAAGCACGAAACUUGCCCCGAGAUGAGUUCUCCCUGAGACUUAGAGUCUCCUGAAGGAACGUUGAAGACGACGACGUUGAUAGGCCGGGUGUGUAAGCGCAGCGAUGCGUUGAGCUAACCGGUACUAAUGAACCGUGAGGCUUAACCUU